GUGAAUCAUCAAAUUUUUGAACGCAAAUUGCACUCUCCUCGGAAAGUAUGCCUGUUUGAGGAUCAGCCUAUAAAAAUCGACAUCGUCGCUGUUUCGCCGUGGCGUUUGUCGGAACUUGGGUCAUCUUAAAUCCUUGUGAUUUCAGCGGCUUAAAAUGCUCUUUUGGGUCCAUGAACGUUU
This 180-nucleotide unclassified non-coding RNA is filed under the name Glomeraceae sp. RNAcentral describes it as "partial contains 5.8S ribosomal RNA and internal transcribed spacer 2". The record is from RNAcentral. Lineage: Eukaryota; Fungi; Glomeromycota; Glomeromycetes; Glomerales; Glomeraceae.